UCCCUGGUGGUCCAGUGAUUAGGACUCCAUGCUUUCACUGCCGAAGGCCCAGGUUCAAUUCCUGAUCAGGGAA
This 73-nucleotide transfer RNA is filed under the name Capra hircus (goat). It matches the Rfam family "tRNA". From Rfam's summary of the family: Transfer RNA (tRNA) molecules are approximately 80 nucleotides in length. Their secondary structure includes four short double-helical elements and three loops (D, anti-codon, and T loops). RNAcentral also lists the same sequence under 1 other name. Lineage: Eukaryota; Metazoa; Chordata; Mammalia; Artiodactyla; Bovidae. The record is from Rfam by way of RNAcentral.